GCCCGUUUAGCAUAGUCGUUAUUGCGCGGCACUUGUAUGAUCUUAACUUCUUCAUUCAAUGCCGAGGUCGCUAGUUCAAAUCUGGCAACGGGCA
Molecule: non-coding RNA, 94 nt
Organism: Melampsora americana
Lineage: Eukaryota; Fungi; Basidiomycota; Pucciniomycetes; Pucciniales; Melampsoraceae
Source: the annotation of a GenBank genome assembly